GGACCAAGGAGUCUAGCAUGUGCGCGAGUCAUUGGGACUCUAACGAAACCUAAAGGCGCAAUGAAAGUGAAGGUUCGCCUCGCGCGAACCGAGGGAGGAUGGGCGGUCGCCAGUGGCCGCCCCGCACUCCCGGGGCGUCUCGUUCUCAUCGCGAGAAGAGGCGCACCCAGAGCGUACACGCUGGGACCCGAAAGAUGGUGAACUAUGCCUGGUCAGGACGAAGUCAGGGGAAACCCUGAUGGAGGUCCGUAGCGAUUCUGACGUGCAAAUCGAUCGUCGGAACUGGGUAUAGGGGCGAAAGACUAAUCGAACCAUCUAGUAGCUGGUUCCCUCCGAAGUUUCCCUCAGGAUAGCUGGCGCUCGCUUCUUGCGAGUCUCAUUCGGUAAAGCGAAUGAUUAGAGGCAUUGGGGUCGAAACGGCCUCAACCUAUUCUCAAACUUUAAAUGGGUGAGAUCUCCGGCUUGCUUGAACUGUGAAGCCGCGAGAUAUCGGAUCAGAGUGCCAAGUGGGCCACUUUUGGUAAGCAGAACUGGCGCUGUGGGAUGAACCAAACGCUGAGUUAAAGCGCCUAAAUCGACGCUUAUGGGAUACCAUGAAAGGCGUUGGUAACUUAAGACAGCAGGACGGUGGCCAUGGAAGUCGGAA
This 646-nucleotide ribosomal RNA is filed under the name Schizonycha gracilis. RNAcentral describes it as "eukaryotic LSU rRNA". It matches the Rfam family "Eukaryotic large subunit ribosomal RNA", at positions 663 to 1266 of the family's 3401-position model. The record is from RNAcentral. Lineage: Eukaryota; Metazoa; Arthropoda; Insecta; Coleoptera; Scarabaeidae.